AUGCACGCCAAGACAAUCUCGGAAAACCCCAAGUACCCCUACGCGCGAAGACACCAAGACCAUUUCGGGAUUCACCAAGUACCACUACGGCGACAUGAACAUAUACGGACGUGUACGACUACCUUGCCCAAAAUACCGUGGGUCACAAGCGCCAUGAACGACUACCGUCACUUGGGUUCGACAAGAUGCCGAGUACCACUACGUUUGCCAUGUACAUCUACACCAAGACCGACAACCGAACGACUUAAUACCGAAACGUCAACUUCCUCGAUGAACCGUGUACAACUACCAUCGCCUCGGAGAUGUUGGGUUCAUCAAGUUCCUCUUCGGGAAACUACCACUACUUCUACGACGAUACGAGAACAACUACCCUUGUUAAAUGCCGUCAAGUGA
RNAcentral lists this ribosomal RNA (393 nucleotides) under Triticum aestivum (bread wheat). RNAcentral's name for it is "partial small subunit ribosomal RNA". Lineage: Eukaryota; Viridiplantae; Streptophyta; Magnoliopsida; Poales; Poaceae. The record is from RNAcentral.